GACCAUUCUGGGAUUCUCUGCUGCUUUUACGGCAGGAAAGUUGGAUUUUGUAAAAAUCAGCAAAAAUCCGUCAGGAAUUUAUAAAUCCUGACACUCAGUAAUUUUCACACAAUGGCAAAUCCACCCCCAACAGCAGAAAAUGGGGAAAAAUGGAAUCAGUGGGAACAGAAUAUUGAAUUUUGAGGAUAAGCCUUGUUUAGACGAUGGAUAACGUCCCAUUUCCCAGGGUAUGGAUGGGAUACAGCAUUGAAACCCAUCCAUAAAUCCCUCCCUAAACAUAAAUGUGAGUGUUUAUCAGCAGUGAAAACCCUGGAAAAAUCCCCGCCGGUUUCCAAGUUAAUGCCAAUUUAAAGGGAAAACCACAUCUGGAAUGUCGGCAAAUAUCUACAAAUUAAUACUGAAAUCUGAGAAACCUCUGGGAAACCUGGCAGUGCAAAUAAACUGGGAAUUCUUGGACUUUGUGUUUUGAGUUUUGGGUUUUUCAGCAGGAAUUCCAUCACUUUUCCACAUGCUUUCCAUGGAUCAUCUGCUGCUUCCUAAACCCAGAGACUGGAAAAUUUCCACAAGUUCAGGGGCCUCACUCAGGCUCUCAACAACACUUUUGGGAACUUUAUAGGAUAUUUAGAUCCUGGGAAAUCAUCCUGGGAAGCAGAAUCCAUAGAUUUGGCAGAGCAAGGUGAUAUUAGAACAUAAAACUGCUGACAGGGAUCUGAAAGUUCCUGCUGCUCCUCCCGCCUUGCAUUGCACUGUUCUUGGCAAUUUCUGGGAAUUUUGGGAACUGCUCUGAGUCCUGACUGAUCUGCUAAGCUGGGAAAUUCCCUGCCUGGAAUAGAAAUCGAAGGAAUUUAUUUGUCUUUUCUGGAUUUGCUACAUCAAAAUCAGCUCUGUGCAGAUAUUUAUCUGUAGCAAAUCAGGGAAUUUAAUUGGAAUGUUAAUGACUCUGGAAUCAGAGAAUCUUGAAUUCUACAGGAGCUUCUGGAAGCAUUUUCAAGAAGGGCAAGACCUGAUGGCAAAAGGGUCAAUGCAGAAAAGGUGGUGCACAAAAUAUCCUGGGAAACGUUCCGGAGACAAAUGGAAAAAGGGGCACGAGCCAGUGCAGAUCCAGACAAAUCCCAAGCAGGGCCUGGAGAGUUCCAUCCCCAUGGAACACUGAGGUCCCACAGGAUGGAGAUCCUGGUGAGUCUUUGGGAUGGUCCUUGGACACCGUUUGGAGCUGGAAGUUGGGAAGCAGCUGAGACAUCCCAGGACAGCAGGAGGCACAAAACACCGAUCAGUUCUGGAAUUCCCAAACUGAUGGAUGGUGGGAAUGGAGGAUAACGAGUCUCUGUUCUAAAGCAGGAAUCUUGGAGGUACAAAUAAAUCAAAUUAAAAAGAAUCCCUUGGAAAGCCACAAGCCAUGGAAACCACUGGGUGACAUUUCAGAAAUUCCAAGGAAAACAGAUUUUGCUCUUGGAUCCAGGAACCUUCUCAGUUUAAACCUGGCAGAGCCGAACUUAAACCUGAAACCACAAGUGUAAAACCAGGAGCUGGGCUCCAAAUCUGAUGGAAAACUGCAGCUUCCAUCUGGGAUCUGAGCGAAUUUAGGGAUUGCAAAAACCUGGAUUAGAGACAUUUCACCAGCCAAAAUCCUGGGAAUUUCUGGACAUUCCUUGGAUGUUGCAAUCUCCGUGUAUCCAACACCAUUUAAUAAUUCCCCAUCUUCUAAGGGAGAAAACCCAGUGGAAUAUUAAUGAGGAACUUGGGAUAUUUGGGAUUUGAUGGGUCUUUCCCAGCUGUGGAGGGAAGCACAGCCCAGCUGGUCUGGGCUGGUUUGGGAUGGAGAUCCCGGAGUCUGAGGGAGCCAACAUUCCAAGCUCUGCUCCCAGAUGGAAAAGGCACGGCUCACUCCUCCCGCCUGCUCCCAGCCACGCAAUCCCAUCUCUUUCCUUGCGGUUUGUGUCCAUGAAAUUCCCCCACGAGCCAGGUUAACACACGGAAACAUCCGGAAAUUCAACAAGGGUGGAGGAAAAGGAGGAAACUUCUGUGGAAUUCAUUGUGUUCAAUCAACAGGAGGAACAAGAAGGAUGGGAAGGAUUUCUUGGAUGCAGUGGGAUAAAGGAGUAGCUGGGAUUGGUGCUCCAUGGCCCAGUGGGAUGUUGGCUGAGUCAUUCCUUGUGUGGGCUACGAGGUUCAGCCAACAGCGAGUCCGUGAAUCCAUACCGACAACUUCGGCUCCCAACCAACCUUGGGAAUUCCUGGUUGGAGUUGGAAUUGAACCAGAUGAGAUUUUUUUCCCUGGGAUUCCCAGCUUUGCAGGAAUUUGAUGUCUCGUUUGCAUGACCACAGGGAUGAAGUCGUCACUUGGACACCGGCUCCCGAAACAUGAAGUUUGGCUCAGUGUGUUCGACUUCUACUUUUAGACCUUGUCUCCUCGUCGUUCCCAGCUGGAAUGUCCUAUGGAAUCUUUAAAAGUAGUUUUAAGGGGAAAGAAAAGGAUUCUGUCAAAUGGCAAUGAAAGGAGUAAGAAAAAUUUGGAAUUCCACCAAAAGCAUGGGAAUUAUCACCCAUUCUUUGACAAAACAUAAAAAAGAUGGGAAGCCAUUAAAAUCCUGGAUAAGCCCAGAAGUGAAGGAAUGUUUGCCAGGCUGCAGGAGUGUUGGAGGUGUUUCUUCACACCCUGGCCACAGAAUACCGGGGUAUUUUUGGGAUAUUUGUGUGACUUACACCCCCAUUUCCCAGGAAGGAUAUUCCCGGUGUUGGCAGAGCAAUGGAUGAAAUAAAGUCCUUGGAAUUUCAGCCCCACCUGUUGGACUGCCCCCCAGGAGGAGCUGCCAAGGCCUUCCCAGCAGGGUGACUAAUCCAUGCUGGGAACAUCAGGGAGCUUUCCAGGCCUUGUUUGGGAGUUGCAGGAGCGUUGUUGGUGUCUUAUGCAUUUCCUGGUUGCUCCAAGUUUUUUUGUAUUCCUUAAUAAAACUUCCACACGUCACCGCAGCAGCUAAAAGUUAUCCCGGCCUUUUCCCCAUGGAUUGAGGUUUUCUACCUCGUCGCAUCAUCGCUUUCCAAUUGCGGAGUUUGUUGUUUCCAGACGGACAGGGAGGUGGGAAUGACACACACCCGGACACGCCAAGCACAGAGAACUCGGGCUUUUGUGGCCUUUUAAAUGAUUUUCAUUUUGGACGACUUCGGGAUUUUCAAUUAUCCUCUCUCCAGAGCCAUAAAAAAGAUCCACGUGCUUGGUUUUCUGGGAUAUUCCUGGAGCCUGCUGGUCUUCCCUUCGUGCUCUGCUCAGCUUCUCCCGAGCACUGGAACUGUGUGGUCCAAGGUUUACAGGAGAAAAUACAGGAGAAGCUUUUCUUUGGCGCUGAGCUGAUAUCCACAGAUCUAAAUCAAGGAUUUGAAGAUCCAAAGGCAAUUCCAUUGGAAUUUGGGCCAUUGAGGAACUGAUCUAUUGGAUCUGGAUGAUGAGCAGGGACGCCUCCCACUGUCCCAGGCUGCUCCCAGCCCCAGUGUCCAGCCUGGCCUUGGGCACUGCCAGGGAUCCAGG
Long non-coding RNA from Corvus hawaiiensis (hawaiian crow), 3523 nucleotides. RefSeq lists it as uncharacterized. The transcript is spliced from 3 exons. The record is from RefSeq and is a predicted model, not a curated record. Lineage: Eukaryota; Metazoa; Chordata; Aves; Passeriformes; Corvidae.